GAGUUUGAUCCUGGCUCAGAUUGAACGCUGGCGGCAGGCUUAACACAUGCAAGUCGAACGGUAACAUGAGUGCUUGCACUUGAUGACGAGUGGCGGACGGGUGAGUAAUGUAUGGGGAUCUGCCGAAUGGAGGGGGACAACAGUUGGAAACGACUGCUAAUACCGCAUAAUGUUGAGAAACCAAAGCAUGGGACCUUCGGGCCAUGCGCCAUUUGAUGAACCCAUAUGGGAUUAGCUAGUUGGUAGGGUAAAGGCUUACCAAGGCGACGAUCUCUAGCUGGUCUGAGAGGAUGACCAGCCACACUGGAACUGAGACACGGUCCAGACUCCUACGGGAGGCAGCAGUGGGGAAUAUUGCACAAUGGGGGAAACCCUGAUGCAGCCAUGCCGCGUGUAUGAAGAAGGCCUUCGGGUUGUAAAGUACUUUCGGUAAUGAGGAAGGUGGUGUAUCUAAUAGGUGCAUCAAUUGACGUUAAUUACAGAAGAAGCACCGGCUAACUCCGUGCCAGCAGCCGCGGUAAUACGGAGGGUGCGAGCGUUAAUCGGAAUGACUGGGCGUAAAGGGCAUGUAGGCGGAUAAUUAAGUUAGGUGUGAAAGCCCUGGGCUCAACCUAGGAAUUGCACUUAAAACUGGUUAACUAGAGUAUUGUAGAGGAAGGUAGAAUUCCACGUGUAGCGGUGAAAUGCGUAGAGAUGUGGAGGAAUACCGGUGGCGAAGGCGGCCUUCUGGACAGAUACUGACGCUGAGAUGCGAAAGCGUGGGGAGCAAACAGGAUUAGAUACCCUGGUAGUCCACGCUGUAAACGAUGUCGAUUUGGAGUUUGUUGCCUAGAGUGAUGGGCUCCGAAGCUAACGCGAUAAAUCGACCGCCUGGGGAGUACGGCCGCAAGGUUAAAACUCAAAUGAAUUGACGGGGGCCCGCACAAGCGGUGGAGCAUGUGGUUUAAUUCGAUGCAACGCGAAGAACCUUACCUGGUCUUGACAUCCACAGAAUCUUUCAGAGAUGAGGGAGUGCCUUCGGGAACUGUGAGACAGGUGCUGCAUGGCUGUCGUCAGCUCGUGUUGUGAAAUGUUGGGUUCAGUCCCGCAACGAGCGCAACCCUUAUCCUUUGUUGCCAGCGAUUAGGUCGGGAACUCAAAGGAGACUGCCGUUGAUAAAACGGAGGAAGGUGGGGACGACGUCAAGUCAUCAUGGCCCUUACGACCAGGACUACACACGUGCUACAAUGGCGUAUACAAAGGGAGGCGA
Molecule: ribosomal RNA, 1249 nt
Filed under: uncultured Gammaproteobacteria bacterium
Lineage: Bacteria; Pseudomonadati; Pseudomonadota; Gammaproteobacteria
Description: bacterial SSU rRNA
Rfam family: Bacterial small subunit ribosomal RNA
Source: RNAcentral